RNAcentral lists this ribosomal RNA (513 nucleotides) under Meladema coriacea. RNAcentral describes it as "partial 16S ribosomal RNA". It matches the Rfam family "Bacterial large subunit ribosomal RNA", at positions 1819 to 2600 of the family's 2925-position model. The record is from RNAcentral. Lineage: Eukaryota; Metazoa; Arthropoda; Insecta; Coleoptera; Dytiscidae.
GUCCUCUUGAAUUUAAUAUGAGGUCUGACCUGCCCACUGAAUUUUUUGAAGGGCCGCAGUAAUUUGACUGUGCAAAGGUAGCAUAAUCAUUAGUUUUUUAAUUGAAAGCUUGUAUGAAGGGUUGGACGAGGUAAAAUCUGUCUCUAUUUAAAUUAUUAUAAAAUUUAAUUUUUAAGUUAAAAAGCUUAAAUAAAUUUAAAAGACGAGAAGACCCUAUAGAUCUUUAUAUAAAUAUUAAUAGUAUUAAUUAAGAAUAUUUAAUUUAUUAUUAAUAUUUAUAUUUUAUUGGGGUAAUAAAAAGAUUUAAUUAAUUCUUUUUUUAUAUAAACAUUAAUUUAUGAAUAUAUGAUCCAAUAUUUUUGAUUAUAAGAUUAAGUUACCUUAGGGAUAACAGCGUAAUUUUUUUAGAGAGUUCAUAUCGAUAAAAAAGUUUGCGACCUCGAUGUUGGAUUAAAAAUUAUCUUAGGUGCAGAAGUUUAAGAUUUUGGUCUGUUCGACCAUUAAAUUUUUACA